GUGAAUAUUAGGACAUCGCUUCGGCGAGUUCGACCCUCCACUUUUCAACUCUGUGCAUUUAUUGGCGGAAUCGAGCGAGCAAUCGUGAAGUUCUGCGUCUCAUUUUUAAACACUAGUCAAAGUAUGUAACGAAAUAUCGAAAUAAAAA
Molecule: unclassified non-coding RNA, 148 nt
Filed under: uncultured Leucosporidium
Lineage: Eukaryota; Fungi; Basidiomycota; Microbotryomycetes; Leucosporidiales
Description: sequence contains ITS1
Source: RNAcentral